This 100-nucleotide ribosomal RNA is filed under the name uncultured bacterium. RNAcentral describes it as "partial 16S ribosomal RNA". The record is from RNAcentral.
UCUUCGGAUCGUAAAGCUCUGUGGGAGGGGACGAAAAAAGCCGACCUAAUACGUCGGAGCUUGACGGUACCCUCUUAGCAAGCACCGGCUAACUCCGUGC